RNAcentral lists this ribosomal RNA (496 nucleotides) under uncultured bacterium. Its description in RNAcentral is "partial 16S ribosomal RNA". It matches the Rfam family "Bacterial small subunit ribosomal RNA", at positions 29 to 507 of the family's 1533-position model. The record is from RNAcentral.
AUGCACGCUGGCGGCGUGCCUAAUACAUGCAAGUCGCGCGAACAGACGAGGAGCUUGCUCCUCUGACGUUAGCGGCGGACGGGUGAGUAACACGUGGAUAACCUACCUAUAAGACUGGGAUAACUUCGGGAAACCGGAGCUAAUACCGGAUAAUAUAUUGAACCGCAUGGUUCAAUAGUGAAAGACGGUUUUGCUGUCACUUAUAGAUGGAUCCGCGCCGCAUUAGCUAGUUGGUAAGGUAACGGCUUACCAAGGCAACGAUGCGUAGCCGACCUGAGAGGGUGAUCGGCCACACUGGAACUGAGACACGGUCCAGACUCCUACGGGAGGCAGCAGUAGGGAAUCUUCCGCAAUGGGCGAAAGCCUGACGGAGCAACGCCGCGUGAGUGAUGAAGGUCUUCGGAUCGUAAAACUCUGUUAUUAGGGAAGAACAAACGUGUAAGUAACUAUGCACGUCUUGACGGUACCUAAUCAGAAAGCCACGGCUAACUACGUG